UACGGAGGGUGCGAGCGUUGUCCGGAAUUACUGGGCGUAAAGCGUGCGUAGACGGUAGCGUAAGUCAGAUGUGAAAGCCCCGGGCUCAACCUGGGAAUUGCAUUUGAGACUGCUCUGCUCGGGUGCGGAAGAGGGAAGCGGAAUUUCCGGUGUAGCGGUGAAAUGCGUAGAUAUCGGAAGGAACACCAGUGGCGAAAGCGGCUUCCUGGUCCGACACCGACGUUCAGGCACGAAAGCGUGGGGAGCAAACAGG
Molecule: ribosomal RNA, 253 nt
Filed under: uncultured bacterium
Lineage: Bacteria
Description: partial 16S ribosomal RNA
Rfam family: Bacterial small subunit ribosomal RNA
Source: RNAcentral